GACGAACGCUGGCGGCGUGCUUAACACAUGCAAGUCGAACGGAAAGGCUCCAGCUUGCUGGAGUACUCGAGUGGCGAACGGGUGAGUAACACGUGGGUGAUCUGCCCUGCACUUCGGGAUAAGCCUUGGAAACUGGGUCUAAUACCGGAUAGGACCGCACUUUGGUGUGUGUGGUGGAAAGGUUUUUCUGGUGUGGGAUGAGCUCGCGGCCUAUCAGUUUGUUGGUGGGGUAAUGGCCUACCAAGACGGCGACGGGUAGCCGGCCUGAGAGGGUGGACGGUCACAUUGGGACUGAGAUACGGCCCAGACUCCUACGGGAGGCAGCAGUGGGGAAUAUUGCACAAUGGGGGAAACCCUGAUGCAGCGACGCCGCGUGGGGGAUGAAGGCCUUCGGGUUGUAAACUCCUUUCGCUAGGGACGAAGCUUUUUGUGACGGUACCUGGAGAAGAAGCACCGGCUAACUACGUG
This 468-nucleotide ribosomal RNA is filed under the name uncultured bacterium. Its description in RNAcentral is "partial 16S ribosomal RNA". It matches the Rfam family "Bacterial small subunit ribosomal RNA", at positions 28 to 507 of the family's 1533-position model. The record is from RNAcentral.